AGGCUCAUCACUGAACGUGUGAUUAUUCAUCCCGGCUGGAAACAAGAGGAUGACCUGAAUACACGGACAAAUUUUGACAAUGACAUUGCCCUGGUGCAGCUCAAAGACCCUGUGAAAAUGGGACCCACUGUUUCCCCCAUCUGCCUGCCAGAAACCUCCUCAGACUACAACCCCUCAGAGGAUGACCUGGGGCUGAUCUCUGUGUGGGGCUGAACAGAGAAUAGAACCAAUGUUAUUCAACUCAGAGGGGCGAAGUUACCUGUAACAUCUUUAGAAAAGUGCCAGCAGGUAAAAGAGGAAAACCCCAAAGCGAGGUCAAACGACUAUGUUUUCACUGACAACAUGAUCUGUGCUGGGGAAAAG
RNAcentral lists this long non-coding RNA (363 nucleotides) under Rattus norvegicus (Norway rat). Its description in RNAcentral is "long non-coding RNA NONRATT021829". Lineage: Eukaryota; Metazoa; Chordata; Mammalia; Rodentia; Muridae. The record is from RNAcentral.